Long non-coding RNA from Brassica napus (rape), 2929 nucleotides. RefSeq lists it as uncharacterized. The transcript is spliced from 3 exons. NCBI's taxonomy places the organism in Eukaryota, Viridiplantae, Streptophyta, Magnoliopsida, Brassicales, Brassicaceae. The record is from RefSeq and is a predicted model, not a curated record.
GUACGAUGCACAUGAUUUUCACCUGCUUGCUUCCUUGCUGGACCAGAACAUGUGAGGAGCACAUGUCUGAUGGGAGCUUUCUUCAUAUCAGGGAAAGGACAGCUACUUGGCUGCUGAAAAUGGUGAAGCUGCUCUCCACAUGUCCUCUCUCAGAAUUUCUUUGUGCUGAGUAAAACCCAAAUUUGAAGUAACUCCUUAUGAUAUAAAACACCAUAUUCUCUCUUCUGGUCUUCCAUAACCUGCAAGAAAAACAAGAGAAAAAUUGUGAGAGAUUGAGAGAAAAAUAAGAGAAAAAUCAAGAGAAAAUUUCUGGUGAUUUAAUAUUCAACCUCAGACCACAGCUAGGACGUUGGUGAAGAAGAAGAUGAGAUAUCCAGAAUAAACCCUAGCUCUUGUUCUGUUUCUGAUCUGAACCGAACCUUGAUCUCUCUUUUUAAUCGGUUCAGCCGUGAGCUAAGCUUGGAGGAGAGAACCAUCUGAGAUCAUCUAACCGUGAAUUCUUAUGGUCUGAGUUCAGAUGGUCGAAGAGGGUAGUUGGACCAGUCGGAUCACGACUUAUCCUCAUUUUGUUUUAGGAGUGAUCAGCAAGUGGUGAACGUUCAGUUGAGUUCAAGUCUAGUCUUCUUUAGCCAAUCUCAGGCACAGGGGGGUAACCUAAGAAUUGGUUGAAUGGUGGAACCAAGCUUAAAUCAGAUCGACCAAAGAUGUGGCUGAUUGGUCGAUAUGACCGGAUUAUGACUUGAUAACCUGAAACAAAGGAAAACGAACGAGAUUAUGAUGAUAAUAACAAUAACAGCAAUAAUAAAAUGAAUGAAAAGGGAUAUAUAUGGCAGAAUCAAGCUGCUGGAUGUGUAUCACUUUCAGCUUGAUUAGAAGAUGGACCGAAGUGGAUUUGCGGAUGAAGGUUUGAUUGAAUCUCUCAGUCUGAUGGUGUGAUGGAACAUUGUGAUUGACUCUAUCAAUCUGUGUACUAAUCUUGUUUGAUUUUCACAAACAAACUAGACUCAUUAAAUCAAUAGAAGAGCAAAGAAUCUCUCUUUGAAUCCUAAAGACCGAUAUUUUAUACAAAGAACAAUCUUUGAUAAAAACUGAAUAAACUUUUUAUUAACUUGGUGAUUGAGGGUAAUCUUUACAAUGGCUAUCUAAGAGCUUAUAUAAUGCUCUGGAAACUAAGUCUAAAGUUCAUAAGAAGGAAAGAAGGAAACAAAUCAAGCAAAGUAACAACAUCGGAAACUAGCCGUUGGAGCCUUUUAUUGGAUUUUGGCUCCAAGUGAGAAACUUCAUUCUUCUUGAACCUGAACGGUUUUCAUGGAUAAAAUAGCUUCCUUGAGACCUUCUUGCAUGAUUUAUAUGUUCUGAAAUCGUCCAUAGCUUGAUAGAAAAAGAGCCGUUGGACAUUAAUGUCGGUUUGCUCCAAAUAAGGCAGGGUUGUGUUAAUGAGGAUCCUCCUAAUCAAAUGUUGGCUGGUCCAUGAACUGACUUGUCUGACUCUUCUGAAUCACUGGAUAGACUUCCUAAAUGUAUAGAUUGAUCUCCAGGUCGCCAAUGUCUUGUUUGAAGGUGAUUGAACCGGUAAGCUUCCAAAUGAGGCAAGUGUAGAACUGGUUUGGCCGGUUCUAGCAAUUGGAUCAUAUCUUCUGAUUUCCGUGUCCAAUUCUCCUCAAAUUGGGCUUUCUGGAAAUAUGAGAGACCCCUCCUGAAUCCUAUGAUGGACUUUGGUUCAGGCCGCUCCUUCCUGGGCUUGAAUCUCCUUCUAAAGUCGGGUACUCGCAGAUGAACAGGAUGAGAAACCUCUGACUUGUAAAAUUCAUAAAUUUCUGAUCCAUGAAGUUUAUCUUGAAAUUCCAAGCCUCAAUGACUCCUUGAUGAGUUAGCCUUCUUUUAAAUUUGGUUUCAUAGACAAACGCCUUCUGGUUAUCGAGAUAGACUCCUAGGACUGAACGUCUGUCGCUGGUAUCUCCUAGGUGACCGAUUUGGAAGGAUUAGUGAGACUGGUUGAACCACGGAUUUCAGGGCUACAACAUACCCUCGCUCUUGACAAGGUUUCUACCUCGAAACUAUAUAACCUGUACCAAGAGAGAGAAAGUGAGCUUUUAUUCUCUUUUGAGAUUCUAAAGCCUUACCUUGAAAUUGUUUCGGUUUGGGAAUGGGUUGUGUAUCAGGUGGUUCUCCUUUGAAAAAAUAGGAAUGGAUCACGCCUCUUCUCUCGAAAUUUUCAUUUCUUAUCUUAUGGAUUGGAUGGUCCUUCAAAUUUUUUGUGGCCACAUUUCUGAUCUUCUUUGGAGUUGAUCCUCCUAGCAACAUAAGAUAAUCUGGUGGGAUUUCUUGGAAGCUUUAUUCUUUGCAACCUGAAAUAAUCUCAACUUCUUGGGAAAAAUUCAAGUGCAUUAAUCUUGUCAUGGAUUUAGUAAGAAAAUUAUGGUCUAGUGUGAAACAUACCUUAAGCCUUGGUAUUUGAACAACACAUUGUUCAAUUUUCGGUUUCCACUUGGGAGUGGGUUCAUGGCUGAACUUAGGGUCUGGUUCUUUCUCUGGAACUUCAAUAAGCUUAUAUCUUUCAUUUUUUUCUCCAUGUACCAAGAACACACACGUAAGUACAAGUAUCCAAAGGUGGUGUUAGACACUUACCUUGGUGGGAUACUCUUAUGACCGGUUUUGCUUCUUUAAGCAACAUGGACAGCUUUGUAUCUUGAACUAUCUUCUGGUCCAUCACGUAUGUUACUACUGAUGGUUCUUAUUCUUUUGGUUCCUCAAUACCUGUUACAAGACCUUUUGACAGAGACAAGUGCAUACACAAGAAUUUGGAACCAAUAAAUCAGAUUGAUUAAAACUAUCACAUUUCAUAGAUAAUUCUGUUUUCUUUUCUAGUGAUGUUUCUAUCAAUGCUUGUUUAGUUGGACAAACUACAGCAAAGUGUCCUCUUUUAUGA